Sinocyclocheilus anshuiensis is the source of this 251-nucleotide long non-coding RNA. RefSeq lists it as uncharacterized. The transcript has 4 exons. Lineage: Eukaryota; Metazoa; Chordata; Actinopteri; Cypriniformes; Cyprinidae. The record is from RefSeq and is a predicted model, not a curated record.
GGAUCUUCUAUCAGGGCUACCGCUGCUCGCGCUGUAAAAUGGCUGCUCAUAAAGAGUGUCUGGGUCGAGUUCCUGCGUGCGGACGAAACUCUGAACUGUCAGGAACGCUCAAGAAGAAUAAAACGAUGAGGUUAACGUCUCAAAGACAGACCAAACCAGGUCUGCCGAAGAUGGAGGUGUGUGUGGAUUAUUACGGUCUCCCUCCGCCGCCGCUGACGUUCGGUCAGCCGCUGCUGCUGUCUGUGGGAGAC